RNAcentral lists this small RNA (282 nucleotides) under uncultured Ruminococcus sp. RNAcentral's name for it is "5' ureB small RNA". It matches the Rfam family "5' ureB small RNA". RNAcentral also lists the same sequence under 1 other name. The record is from RNAcentral. Lineage: Bacteria; Bacillati; Bacillota; Clostridia; Eubacteriales; Oscillospiraceae.
CUGUGUUGGCGAAAUGAAGUGGAUGUGGGUGUCGAGUCCGCCGGCAGUAAGAAUAAGACCUUCUCCUGCAAUCGCCUCUGUGGACGCACCGAUUACCAUAUUCUUAUCCACGCCGUUCAUAAUAUCCGGAUUUCCGGCUUUGCCGAUUCCUGCAAUUUUACCGUCCUUUAUGCCGACAUCCGCUUUUAUGAUGCCUGUGCUGUCAAUGAUCAGCGCAUUUGUGAUAACUGUGUCAAGGCACUCCUUGUCCGUGGCUUUGCAGGACUGCCCCAUGCCGUCGCG